GCUGAAUGUGGGGAUAAUUUAUCUUUGUAUUGUAGCUAACGCGUUAAGCACUCCGCCUGGGGACUACGGUCGCAAGACUAAAACUCAAAGGAAUUGACGGGGACCCGCACAAGCGGUGGAGCAUGUGGUUUAAUUCGAUGCUACGCGAAAAACCUUACCACUUUUUGACAUGAAGGUCGUAUCCCUCCUAACAGAGGGAGUCAGUUCGGCUGGACCUUACACAGGUGCUGCAUGGUUGUCGUCAGCUCGUGUCGUGAGAUGUUGGGUUAAGUCCCGCAACGAGCGCAACCCUCAUCCUUAGUUACCAACAGGUAAUGCUGGGCACUCUAAGGAAACUGCCAGUGAUAAACUGGAGGAAGGUGGGGAUGAUGUCAAAUCAGCACGGCCCUUAUAAGGUGGGCUACACACGUGCUACAAUGGCAACUACAAUAGGUUGCGAGACCGCAAGGUUUAGCUAAUCCAUAAAAGUUGUCUCAGUUCGGAUUGUUCUCUGCAACUCGAGAGCAUGAAGUCGGAAUCGCUAGUAAUCGUGGAUCAUCACGCCACGGUGAAUACGUUCUCGGGUCUUGUACACACUGCCCGUCACGCCAUGGGAAUUGGCUUAACUCGAAGCUGGUGUGCUAACCGAAAGGAAGCAGCCAU
Molecule: ribosomal RNA, 642 nt
Filed under: uncultured Ehrlichia sp.
Lineage: Bacteria; Pseudomonadati; Pseudomonadota; Alphaproteobacteria; Rickettsiales; Anaplasmataceae
Description: bacterial SSU rRNA
Rfam family: Bacterial small subunit ribosomal RNA
Source: RNAcentral